AGGGAUCAUUACAGAGUUUUCUAAACUCCCAACCCUUUGUUUACAUACCACUGUUGCUUCGGCGGCGGAGGCGCUACCCUACAGGUGCUACCCAGUAGUUACCCUGUAGUCCCGGUUUGCCUUCCCGCCGGUGGCCAACUAAACUCUGUUUUUUCUGGAACUCUGAAUUAUAAACUUAAUAAGUUAAAACUUUCAACAACGGAUCUCUUGGUUCUGGCAUCGAUGAAGAACGCAGCGAAAUGCGAUAAGUAAUGUGAAUUGCAGAAUUCAGUGAAUCAUCGAAUCUUUGAACGCACAUUGCGCCCAUUAGCAUUCUAGUGGGCAUGCCUGUUCGAGCGUCAUUUCACCACUUAAGCCCUGCUGCUUAGCGUUGGGGGCCUACGGCAUAGCCUGUAGCCCCUUAAAGUGAUCGGCGGAGUUAGUAUUAUCUCUAAGCGUAGUAAUUUCUUCUCGCUUCUGCAGUAGUGCUGGCCCCCGCCGUAAAACCCUAUUAUACAAUGGUUGACCUCGGAUCAGGUAGGAAUACCCGCUGAACUUAA
Molecule: ribosomal RNA, 539 nt
Filed under: fungal sp. R15
Lineage: Eukaryota; Fungi
Description: eukaryotic LSU rRNA
Rfam family: 5.8S ribosomal RNA (bases 188-341)
Source: RNAcentral